RNAcentral lists this ribosomal RNA (510 nucleotides) under uncultured bacterium. Its description in RNAcentral is "partial 16S ribosomal RNA". It matches the Rfam family "Bacterial small subunit ribosomal RNA", at positions 28 to 507 of the family's 1533-position model. The record is from RNAcentral.
GACGAACGCUGGCGGCGUGCUUAACACAUGCAAGUCGAACGAAGAGCGAUGGACGCUUGCUUCUAUCAAUCUUAGUGGCGAACGGGUGAGUAACGCGUAAUCAACCUGCCCUUCAGAGGGGGACAACAGUUGGAAACGACUGCUAAUACCGCAUACGAUCUAAUCUCGGCAUCGAGGAUAGAUGAAAGGUGGCCUCUACAUGUAAGCUAUCACUGAAGGAGGGGAUUGCGUCUGAUUAGCUAGUUGGAGGGGUAACGGCCCACCAAGGCGAUGAUCAGUAGCCGGUCUGAGAGGAUGAACGGCCACAUUGGGACUGAGACACGGCCCAGACUCCUACGGGAGGCAGCAGUGGGGAAUCUUCCGCAAUGGACGAAAGUCUGACGGAGCAACGCCGCGUGAGCGAUGACGGCCUUCGGGUUGUAAAGCUCUGUUAAUCGGGACGAAAGGCCUUCUUGCGAAUAGUGAGAAGGAUUGACGGUACCGGAAUAGAAAGCCACGGCUAACUACGUG